Molecule: small nuclear RNA, 103 nt
Organism: Jaculus jaculus (lesser Egyptian jerboa)
Lineage: Eukaryota; Metazoa; Chordata; Mammalia; Rodentia; Dipodidae
Source: Ensembl
GUUCUCACUUUGGCAGCACAUAUAACAAAUUGGAAUGACACCGAGAUUAGCAUGAUCCCUGUGCAAGGAUGGCAUGCAAAUUCAUGAAGCAUUCCAUAUUUUU